Pelobates cultripes (western spadefoot toad) is the source of this 241-nucleotide non-coding RNA. The record is from the annotation of a GenBank genome assembly. NCBI's taxonomy places the organism in Eukaryota, Metazoa, Chordata, Amphibia, Anura, Pelobatidae.
GGACUAAAACAAGAAAUUGCAAGCCUCUCCUCUGAAUCAGUGCUCCCCUGUGCAUCAGACCACGGCUGCUGGUCGUUUAUCGGGUGUAAGAUGUUUUUUUUUUAAGGCUUUAAGUGUGAUGGUAGCAGGAGCUGUUGGUAUAUGCAACCGUUCAGUUUGGCGGUCAGGCCUCGCCCCCACUGGACAAUCAUUAAAGGGCAACUGUCAUCAAAUUAUUACUUAUAAAAGUAUACUUUUAAAA